RNAcentral lists this transfer RNA (73 nucleotides) under Camelus bactrianus (Bactrian camel). It matches the Rfam family "tRNA". Rfam says of the family: Transfer RNA (tRNA) molecules are approximately 80 nucleotides in length. Their secondary structure includes four short double-helical elements and three loops (D, anti-codon, and T loops). Further hydrogen bonds mediate the characteristic L-shaped molecular structure. tRNAs have two regions of fundamental functional importance: the anti-codon, which is responsible for specific mRNA codon recognition, and the 3' end, to which the tRNAs corresponding amino acid is attached (by aminoacyl-tRNA synthetases). tRNAs cope with the degeneracy of the genetic code in two manners: having more than one tRNA (with a specific anti-codon) for a particular amino acid; and 'wobble' base-pairing, i.e. permitting non-standard base-pairing at the 3rd anti-codon position. Lineage: Eukaryota; Metazoa; Chordata; Mammalia; Artiodactyla; Camelidae. RNAcentral also lists the same sequence under 2 other names. The record is from Rfam by way of RNAcentral.
GAGGGUAUAGCUCAAGUGCUGAAGCACAUGCUUAGCAUGCAGGAGGCCCUGGGUUCAAUCCCCAGUAUCUCUA